UACGUAGGCAGCGAGCGUUGUUCGGAUUUACUGGGCGUACAGGGAGCGUAGGCGGUUGGAUAAGCCCUCCGUGAAAUCUCCAGGCUUAACCUGGAAAGUGCAGAGGGGACUGUUCAGCUAGAGGAUGGGAGAGGAGCGCGGAAUUCCCGGUGUAGCGGUGAAAUGCGUAGAGAUCGGGAGGAAGGCCGGUGGCGAAGGCGGCGCUCUGGAACAUUUCUGACGCUGAGGCUCGAAAGCGUGGGGAGCAAACAGG
This 253-nucleotide ribosomal RNA is filed under the name uncultured bacterium. RNAcentral's name for it is "partial 16S ribosomal RNA". It matches the Rfam family "Bacterial small subunit ribosomal RNA", at positions 524 to 776 of the family's 1533-position model. The record is from RNAcentral.